This 317-nucleotide unclassified non-coding RNA is filed under the name Hevea brasiliensis (rubber tree). Lineage: Eukaryota; Viridiplantae; Streptophyta; Magnoliopsida; Malpighiales; Euphorbiaceae. The record is from RNAcentral.
CUGAUAGGAGCUGCUUCGACACCUGACAUCCUGAGGUGUAUCCAAAUAGGAUUACUGUGCGUACAAGCAGAUGCAGGAAAAAGACCAACUAUGGCUUCGGUGGUUCUCAUGCUUGAUAGUUGCUCUGUUGCUUUACCAGCAUUGUCAAAACCUGGAUAUUUUGUGUAUAGCGAACAUACGUCAAUUCUGUCUGGUAAUCAAUCCAAAAGCCGCUCUGCCCAACUCUCUGCCAAUCAGUGUUCAAUUUCAGAGUUAGAUCCACGAUAAAAAUAUAGGAGCAUGCCAGUUACUUUAAUCAUUUUUUUCUACUUGUUUUG